UACAGAGGGGGCAAGCGUUGUUCGGAAUUACUGGGCGUAAAGGGCGCGUAGGCGGCCCGCUAAGUCGAACGUGAAAUCCCCAGGCUUAACCUGGGAACUGCGUCCGAUACUGGUGGGCUUGAAUCCGGGAGAGGGAUGUGGAAUUCCAGGUGUAGCGGUGAAAUGCGUAGAUAUCUGGAGGAACACCGGUGGCGAAGGCGGCAUCCUGGACCGGUAUUGACGCUGAGGCGCGAAAGCUAGGGGAGCAAACGGG
This 253-nucleotide ribosomal RNA is filed under the name uncultured bacterium. Its description in RNAcentral is "partial 16S ribosomal RNA". It matches the Rfam family "Bacterial small subunit ribosomal RNA", at positions 524 to 776 of the family's 1533-position model. The record is from RNAcentral.